AGUAGACGCUGAAGGAGGAGCUUGCUCUUCUGGAAGAGUUGCGAACGGGUGAGUAACGCGUAGGUAACCUGCCUCUUAGCGGGGGAUAACUAUUGGAAACGAUAGCUAAUACCGCAUAAAAGUCGACAUUGCAUGAUGUUGACUUGAAAGGUGCAAUUGCAUCACUAAGAGAUGGACCUGCGUUGUAUUAGCUAGUUGGUGAGGUAACGGCUCACCAAGGCGACGAUACAUAGCCGACCUGAGAGGGUGAUCGGCCACACUGGGACUGAGACACGGCCCAGACUCCUACGGGAGGCAGCAGUAGGGAAUCUUCGGCAAUGGGGGCAACCCUGACCGAGCAACGCCGCGUGAGUGAAGAAGGUUUUCGGAUCGUAAAGCUCUGUUGUAAGAGAAGAACGAGUGUGAGAGUGGAAAGUUCACGCUGUGACGGUAUCUUACCAGAAAGGGACGGCUAACUACGUGCCAGCAGCCGCGGUAAUACGUAGGUCCCGAGCGUUAUCCGGAUUUAUUGGGCGUAAAGCGAGCGCAGGCGGUUAGAUAAGUCUGAAGUUAAAGGCUGUGGCUUAACCAUAGUACGCUUUGGAAACUGUUUAACUUGAGUGCAGAAGGGGAGAGUGGAAUUCCAUGUGUAGCGGUGAAAUGCGUAGAUAUAUGGAGGAACACCGGUGGCGAAAGCGGCUCUCUGGUCUGUAACUGACGCUG
RNAcentral lists this ribosomal RNA (702 nucleotides) under Streptococcus sp. HGFM111. Its description in RNAcentral is "bacterial SSU rRNA". It matches the Rfam family "Bacterial small subunit ribosomal RNA", at positions 60 to 748 of the family's 1533-position model. Lineage: Bacteria; Bacillati; Bacillota; Bacilli; Lactobacillales; Streptococcaceae. The record is from RNAcentral.